RNAcentral lists this long non-coding RNA (357 nucleotides) under Populus trichocarpa (black cottonwood). Its description in RNAcentral is "long non-coding RNA (PTRI_LNC001147)". The record is from RNAcentral. Lineage: Eukaryota; Viridiplantae; Streptophyta; Magnoliopsida; Malpighiales; Salicaceae.
CUUUCUUGAAGGCUUGUUUCACCAAAGUUUUGUUGCUGCUCCUCAUAAGCAUUGUUGUUGUAGUGGUUAUUGGUGGUGGUGGUGGUGGUGGAGUCAGUUGGAUAAUUGGUGUAGGUUUCUUGGGUUUGGGUCUGGGUUUUGUAUGGCUGGUAAGUGGUUGUGGUGUAGGGUGCAUUUGUUAGUUUAGUAGUGGUGGGGAACUGGGAGGAUUCUUGACCAUAUAGACCAUAGCCAUUUUGGGUGUCUGGGAUAAAGGCUGGAUCUAGUUCUUGCUUGUUAAAGCUUUCUUCUUCUUUGUUGGGGAGUGUUUUAUCUUGAACAUUAUUGUUGUUGAUGGUGGUAGUGGAGGGAGUAGCG